This 465-nucleotide ribosomal RNA is filed under the name uncultured bacterium. Its description in RNAcentral is "partial 16S ribosomal RNA". It matches the Rfam family "Bacterial small subunit ribosomal RNA", at positions 338 to 795 of the family's 1533-position model. The record is from RNAcentral.
CCUACGGGGUGCAGCAGUGGGGAAUAUUGCGCAAUGGGCGAAAGCCUGACGCAGCGACGCCGCGUGAGGGAUGAAGGUCUUCGGAUCGUAAACCUCUGUCAGCAGGGAAGAACGGUCACUGUGCUAAUCAGCAGUGAAUUGACGGUACCUGCAAAGGAAGCACCGGCUAACUCCGUGCCAGCAGCCGCGGUAAUACGGAGGGUGCGAGCGUUAAUCGGAAUUACUGGGCGUAAAGCGCUCGUAGGCGGUAUGUCAAGUCAAGGGUGAAAUCCCCGCGCUCAACGUGGGAACUGCCUUUGAUACUGGCAAACUGGAGUGUGUGAGAGGAUAGUGGAAUUCCAGGUGUAGGAGUGAAAUGCGUAGAUAUCUGGAGGAACAUCAGUGGCGAAGGCGACUAUCUGGCACAUAACUGACGCUGAGGAGCGAAAGCGUGGGUAGCAAACAGGAUUAGAUACCCUUGUAGUC